Molecule: ribosomal RNA, 460 nt
Filed under: uncultured bacterium
Lineage: Bacteria
Description: partial 16S ribosomal RNA
Rfam family: Bacterial small subunit ribosomal RNA
Source: RNAcentral
CCUACGGGAGGCAGCAGUGAGGAAUAUUGGUCAAUGGACGAGAGUCUGAACCAGCCAAGUAGCGUGAAGGAUGACUGCCCUAUGGGUUGUAAACUUCUUUUAUAUGGGAAUAAAAUGUUCCACGUGUGGGUUUUUGUAUGUACCAUAUGAAUAAGGAUCGGCUAACUCCGUGCCAGCAGCCGCGGUAAUACGGAGGAUCCGAGCGUUAUCCGGAUUUAUUGGGUUUAAAGGGGGCGUAGGUGGAUUGUUAAGUCAGGUGUGAAAGUUUGCGGCUCAACCGUAAAAUUGCAGUUGAAACUGGCAGUCUUGAGUACAGUAGAGGUGGGCGGAAUUCGUGGUGUAGCGGUGAAAUGCUUAGAUAUCACGAAGAACUCCGAUUGCGAAGGCAGCUCACUGGACUGCAACUGACACUGAGGCUCGAAAGUGUGGGUAUCAAACAGGAUUAGAUACCCGGGUAGUC